RNAcentral lists this ribosomal RNA (339 nucleotides) under uncultured bacterium. RNAcentral's name for it is "bacterial SSU rRNA". It matches the Rfam family "Bacterial small subunit ribosomal RNA", at positions 136 to 507 of the family's 1533-position model. The record is from RNAcentral.
UGGGGGGACAACCGUGGGAAACUACGGCUAAUACCGCAUGAUCGCUAGGAGGACGAAGAACGAAGUCGUUGAGGAGGAGCCUGCGUCUGAUUAGGUAGUUGGUGGGGUAAAGGCCUACCAAGGCGACGAUCAGUAGCUGGUCUGAGAGGAUGAUCAGUCACAUUGGGACUGAGACACGGCCCAAACUCCUACGGGAGGCAGCAGUGGGGAAUAUUGGACAAUGGGCGAAAGCCUGAUCCAGCAAUGCCGCGUGUGUGAAGAAGGUCUUCGGAUUGUAAAGCACUUUUGGCAGGGACGAUGAUGACGGUACCUGCAGAAUAAGCCCCGGCUAACUUCGUG